Molecule: long non-coding RNA, 725 nt
Organism: Lineus longissimus
Lineage: Eukaryota; Metazoa; Nemertea; Pilidiophora; Heteronemertea; Lineidae
Exons: 3
Source: RefSeq, a predicted model, not a curated record
ACCUCCCAAGUCAUCUGAGAGACGAUUAUGUGCCACUUAAUACUGGACGUGACAGUGGUGCAAAUUCUGUAUAUGACUAUGAGGCUGUCAGCUGGCUCCUCUUCGGUUGUAAAGAGAAAGCAAAUUUCCUCCGUUUGAUGUCAUCAGUGUCGGCCUUGAAUUCAUUGCAGUCAAUUGCAAACAAGCUCUGUGACUUCACAUCUGAAAUGAGUUCAGAGGAACUGGUUGCGUGGAUGUCACUCACGACAAAGACUGCCACAGCUAUACGCGGUGUUGGAUGUCGUCGGCGAAUUCUUAAGGAGACAAUCGUAGCAGAGGUCAAAAGGUCAUUCAAUGUGAAUGAAGAGCCUGGGCCUUUACAAAUGCUUCUGAUUCACUUCUACCUGAAAGUACCAUUAGUGGUGUACAUGGGUGAAAAGCAGUGUGUCUUCAAUGUCGUAGGAUUAUCAAAUGAAACACCAAUUAAGCUUCUCGUUGUCCCACUGACUUGGGCUUUCUUCACUUGGUGGGAAAAUGCGACAUGUGCCACUUAUCAGAAUCAGCGAAGAGAAAAAAAAGUCAAGGGAGGAAUGUGAGGCUAAUCAAGCCGACAUCUGUUCGACUCCUGAAGAAGAAUGCUGUAUUUGCUGCAUGUUUUGCAGGCAACAAUACCACAGUUCAUGUAUUUCAUUGAAUACACAGAGUUUUUUCAGCUGUGGCUGUGACAAACUUUGGCCACUCUCUCC